This 110-nucleotide ribosomal RNA is filed under the name Castor canadensis (American beaver). The record is from RNAcentral. Lineage: Eukaryota; Metazoa; Chordata; Mammalia; Rodentia; Castoridae.
UGUCUACGGCCAUACCACCCUGAACGCGCCCGAUCUCGUCUGAUCUCGGAAGCUAAGCAGGGUCGGGCCUGGUUAGUACUUGGAUGGGAGAAACAAAGUGGUCAUCACAA